AUUUGUUCUAUUAUGGUUUGAUCAGCUCCAAUGUUUGUAGAUGAUUCUGGAUGACUCGUGCAUCACUUAAAAUACAUUAACUGUUACAAUGCGCAUCUAAUUCAAUAAACGUACUUCUCUUUAUUUAUCAUAUAAACCUUUUUCGUCCAGGUUUUUUGUCAAAUAGUGGUGGUUUGUAUAUAACCAGACACUUUUGAUGUUGAUAUGGAAUUCAAAACAAG
Molecule: long non-coding RNA, 221 nt
Filed under: Mytilus galloprovincialis (Mediterranean mussel)
Lineage: Eukaryota; Metazoa; Mollusca; Bivalvia; Mytilida; Mytilidae
Source: RNAcentral